This 221-nucleotide long non-coding RNA is filed under the name Elaeis guineensis (African oil palm). Its description in RNAcentral is "long non-coding RNA (EGUI_LNC020386)". Lineage: Eukaryota; Viridiplantae; Streptophyta; Magnoliopsida; Arecales; Arecaceae. The record is from RNAcentral.
UUCCAUUGCCUUCAUCCAUUUAUCCUUAGCAGGGCAUGAGGGAGCCUCUUGAAAUGAACUCGACUGCUCAUCAUCUCCUGGAGAAACCAUUAAUGCUUCCCCUUCAAUCUUGAAAUGAUGUUGGAGAACAUUCCCUCACUACUCCUACGCAACUGUAUCUCUUGAGGACUCUCAAAUAUCCUCCCAUUUGGAUUAGCAGGUGGAGGUACAACUAUUUGUUC